GGGAAUGGAAGACCAGUUGCACCUUCUAUGCCGUACCCUAGGAUGUAUGUUGAAACUGAUAUGGAGACCCAGAUUCACCAAACUAGAGCAAGAAGCUUACAGUUCAGUUCUAAGAGCCUUUAAAGCUCAAGCUGAUGCCAUUACUUGGGAGAAAGAAAGUUUGAUAACAGAGCUUAGAAAGGAGUUGAGAUUAUCUAAUGAGGAGCAUAGAGAGCUUCUUGGCCAGGUUAAUGCAGAUGAUAUGAUAAGGAGAAUAAGGGAGUGGAGACAGACUGGUGGGCUUCAAUCCGGCAUGCUUGGUACCGGUCAAGCUGUUCAUGACCCAAUACCUAGCCCUACUGUCUCUGUAUCUCGCAAGAAAACAGAAGAUUACUUCAUCAGUACCUUCUCAAUCCUUUGGUGGACCAUCUCCUUCGUUUCACCCACAAGCUGUUUCUGCUUCACACCAGCCAUCUUCAUCAACUGCUAAACGAGGACCUGUCUCAGGAUCAAAGAGCAAGAAGCAAAAACCUGUUUUACCUGGUGCUUCAUCAAUUAAGUCCAUUCCAUACCCAUCCUCAGGUCCAUCGGGAAGGGGUCAAGUAGCAAAUAGGGUUUCUUCUGGUGCUGCUCCUGAAGGGGCUACACGAGAAUCAUUAAUUGGGAAGAGAGUCAAGACUAGGUGGCCUGAUGAUAAUAACUUUU
RNAcentral lists this unclassified non-coding RNA (684 nucleotides) under Hevea brasiliensis (rubber tree). The record is from RNAcentral. Lineage: Eukaryota; Viridiplantae; Streptophyta; Magnoliopsida; Malpighiales; Euphorbiaceae.